This 305-nucleotide long non-coding RNA is filed under the name Patiria miniata (bat star). RNAcentral describes it as "uncharacterized LOC119734080". The record is from RNAcentral. Lineage: Eukaryota; Metazoa; Echinodermata; Asteroidea; Valvatida; Asterinidae.
GAAAGCGUCUUCGCCACUGGAGUGCACAACAGCGCCCUCUUGUGACUGACUGUUAUAAUUGCCAAAUCCUUGUCGAAUCACGUUGUUUCCAGAUAAUUCUUAGUCCGUAAAAUCCUUGUUAAUGACUCCAAAUCAUCAUUUGCCUUUAUAAUCCAAUCACCAGGUUAAUUAUAAAUACCCCCUGUGCGUGAAUUACUGAAAGACCACAGACUACACAGACCUCACAUACUACACAGACCACACAGGCUUAUACUAGGACCAGACCAGGCCAAGUACCCAUUUAAAAUAAAACCAAUCUCAGCCCA